RNAcentral lists this ribosomal RNA (400 nucleotides) under uncultured bacterium. RNAcentral describes it as "bacterial SSU rRNA". It matches the Rfam family "Bacterial small subunit ribosomal RNA", at positions 50 to 496 of the family's 1533-position model. The record is from RNAcentral.
AACACAUGCAAGUCGAACGCCCUCUUCGGAGGGAGUGGCAGACGGGUGAGUAACACGUGGGAACCUACCUAGGGGUACGGAAUAACUCGGGGAAACUCGUGCUAAUACCGUAUACGACCUUCGGGUGAAAGAUUUAUCGCCCCUAGAUGGGCCCGCGCUGGAUUAGCUAGUUGGUGGGGUAAAAGCCUACCAAGGCGACGAUCCAUAGCUGGUCUGAGAGGAUGAUCAGCCACACUGGGACUGAGACACGGCCCAGACUCCUACGGGAGGCAGCAGUGGGGAAUCUUGGACAAUGGGGGAAACCCUGAUCCAGCCAUGCCGCGUGAGUGAUGAAGGCCUUAGGGUUGUAAAGCUCUUUCGCCAGGGAAGAUAAUGACGGUACCUGGAUAAGAAGCCCCGG